Molecule: ribosomal RNA, 73 nt
Filed under: Plumbago auriculata (Cape leadwort)
Lineage: Eukaryota; Viridiplantae; Streptophyta; Magnoliopsida; Caryophyllales; Plumbaginaceae
Description: partial 26S ribosomal RNA
Rfam family: Eukaryotic large subunit ribosomal RNA
Source: RNAcentral
GCGACCCCAGGUCAGGCGGGGCUACCCGCUGAGUUUAAGCAUAUCAAUAAGCGGAGGAAAAGAAACUACAAGG